CUCCCUGUGGCUCAGUUGGUAGAGCAUGGUGUUUGCAACGCCAGGGUUGUGGGUUUGAUUCCCACGGGGGGGC
This 73-nucleotide transfer RNA is filed under the name Salmo salar (Atlantic salmon). It matches the Rfam family "tRNA". Rfam says of the family: Transfer RNA (tRNA) molecules are approximately 80 nucleotides in length. Lineage: Eukaryota; Metazoa; Chordata; Actinopteri; Salmoniformes; Salmonidae. The record is from Rfam by way of RNAcentral.